Molecule: ribosomal RNA, 253 nt
Filed under: uncultured bacterium
Lineage: Bacteria
Description: partial 16S ribosomal RNA
Rfam family: Bacterial small subunit ribosomal RNA
Source: RNAcentral
UACGUAGGGGGCAAGCGUUAUCCGGAUUUACUGGGUGUAAAGGGAGCGUAGACGGCAAUGCAAGUCUGGAGUGAAAGGCGGGGGCCCAACCCCCGGACUGCUCUGGAAACUGUAUAGCUGGAGUGCAGGAGAGGUAAGUGGAAUUCCUAGUGUAGCGGUGAAAUGCGUAGAUAUUAGGGGGAACACCAGUGGCGAAGGCGGCUUACUGGACUGUAACUGACAUUGAGGCUCGAAAGCGUGGGGAGCAGACAGG